GAUCAUGGCUCAGGAUGAACGCUGGCGGCGUGCUUAACACAUGCAAGUCGAACGAAGCACUUUAACCUGAUUCUUCGGAUGAAGGUUUUUGUGACUGAGUGGCGGACGGGUGAGUAACGCGUGGGUAACCUGCCUCAUACAGGGGGAUAACAGUUAGAAAUGACUGCUAAUACCGCAUAAGACCACAGUACCACAUGGUACAGUGUGAAAAACUCCGGUGGUAUGAGAUGGACCCGCGU
This 239-nucleotide ribosomal RNA is filed under the name uncultured bacterium. RNAcentral's name for it is "partial 16S ribosomal RNA". It matches the Rfam family "Bacterial small subunit ribosomal RNA", at positions 15 to 236 of the family's 1533-position model. The record is from RNAcentral.